Pezoporus occidentalis (night parrot) is the source of this 633-nucleotide long non-coding RNA. RefSeq lists it as uncharacterized. The transcript is spliced from 3 exons. The record is from RefSeq and is a predicted model, not a curated record. Lineage: Eukaryota; Metazoa; Chordata; Aves; Psittaciformes; Psittacidae.
GGGUAAAGGAAGGUCAUGGUUUUGUAGCUAUAGCAGUCUGGUAACAUUAAGCCUAGAAAGACAGUGGAAGAGGCCAUAGGUAUUUGUAAUUUAUUCAUAAACAGCUAUGCCAUCACAGGAAACUUUUUCAAAUAAUAUGUGAUAGUUCUUUAAAUAUUUAAGAGUUUGUUGACCUAUUUUCUCAGUUAAUUAGGAUUUUUUUUGGCUGCAUUAACAAUGACUUGAAUGCAGUCUGCUUUAGUCGCUAUGCAGUUUGGUUACACUGGUGUCGUGGAACAUGAUUUCUUUCUAAGGCAUAUUGCACAAGAGAGGCAUGCCAUUGGAAGUGUCUAGACUUGUACUUAAAAACCUGUGGACUUCCUACUAGGCAAUGCUUAAGCUCAUCUUAGUGAACAUAAAACCUUUCACCUAGCAUCCUUUUCAGUCCUAAAACUAAUGUCUUUCCAGUUACAGCACUAUCCUUGGUUACUCUGCAAUGGAAGGGCCAUGAUGUGGCAGCCCUUCUCUUCAAAGUACAAUGGUUAAGACCAUCAAGCUCAUCUCUGCAAGCUGCAUUUCAGCUGUAGCUUAGAUACUUUCGACUAACACGUCUGUCUGAGCUGGCCACUUCGAGUUUGUCUACCUCUAUGGCAG